AGCCCUUGACAUCCCGGUCGCGGAUUCCGUCUCUGGAAUCCGCGACCGGGAUGUCAAGGGCUGGUAAGGUUCUUCGCGUUGCGUCGAAUUAAACCACAUGCUCCACCGCUUGUGCGGGCCCCCGUCAAUUCCUUUGAGUUUUAAUCUUGCGACCGUACUCCCCAGGCGGAAUGCUUAAAGCGUUAGCUGCGCCACUAGUGAGUAAACCCACUAACGGCUGGCAUUCAUCGUUUACGGCGUGGACUAC
This 247-nucleotide unclassified non-coding RNA is filed under the name uncultured Alphaproteobacteria bacterium. RNAcentral describes it as "contains 16S-23S intergenic spacer region". The record is from RNAcentral. Lineage: Bacteria; Pseudomonadati; Pseudomonadota; Alphaproteobacteria.